AGACAAUGAACUGGAUUGGUUAUGGAUAUGAACUUGCACAGCAAAUACUUGGUGAUGAAUUCUACUAAGGAAAACCAUCAGAGAAAACUGCUAGAGUCAUGAUGUACCAUUCAUCUAUGGAAGGCUCUGAUGGGAAGUUGAAGAAACAUAUUGUUGAGACGUAACAGACUGAAAGGUCUACAAUCCGACUGAUAUUUGCAUCUGUGGCUCUAGGCAUGGGUGCAGAUUUGAGGCAUGUUAAAAGGGUGAUUCAUGCUGGACCUCCUGCCUCCUUAGAAACUUACAUACAAGAGAUCGGCAGAGCAGGAAGAAGCCAUGCUGAUGCCCUGGCCAUUCUCUUCUUUAACAAAUCAGACAUUGCAUCUGCACAUAUGACCAGAGAAAUGAAGGACUAUUGUGUAAACUCAACUAUCUGCCGAAGAACUUUAGUUAACCAGUAUUUUGGUUUUGAAACUCAGGAAGUCAAACAGUUUUCAAUUUGUUGUGAUUUGUGUUAUAAUGAACUGGGGAUAGAAUAUGAUUUUAGUAAACUGUAAGCUAACUAAAUGCAUACAUAUUAUUACAAGUUUCCUUGAUAAAUUGAAUUUUCACAUUUUUUUAGGAAAGUCUAUCCUCGAAUAUUUUAAAUAUCUUAAAUAUAUUUGAUUGGAUUGUUUUAUUAUGCCCCCCUUCGAAGAAGAGGGGGUAUAUUGUUUUGCUCAUGUCGGUCCGUCCGUCCAUCCACCAUAUGGUGUCCGGAUGAUAACUCAAGAACGCUUAGGCCUAAGAUCAUGAAACUUCAUAGGUACAUUGAUCAUGACUGGCAGAUGACCCCUGAUUUACAGGUCACAAGGUCAAAGGUCAAGGUUGCAGUGACUCGAAACAGUAAAAUGGUUUCCUGAUGAUAACUCAAGAAUAAUUAGGCCUAGGAUCAUGAAACUUCAUAGGUACAUCGAUCAUGACUGGCAGAUGACCCCUAUUGAUUUUCAGGUCACUGGUUCAAAGGUCAAGGUCACAGUGACAAAAAACGUAUUCACACAAUAGCUGCCACUACAACUGACAGCCCAUAUGGGGGGCAUGCAUGUUUGCAAGUGUUCUUUCCACUGGCAAUGGAAUCAAUUAAUUCAGUAUUAAAGUGUCCCGAUAUCUGAUCCAUUGUAUACAACAUGCCUGAAUGGCUCAGAGUGACACCCAAAGGUUGAAGUCUGUCAUACACCUACAAUGAUCCAACAUUUUUGUCUAUGAUU
Dreissena polymorpha is the source of this 1226-nucleotide long non-coding RNA. RefSeq lists it as uncharacterized. The record is from RefSeq and is a predicted model, not a curated record. The transcript is spliced from 3 exons. Lineage: Eukaryota; Metazoa; Mollusca; Bivalvia; Myida; Dreissenidae.